CACGCCGUAAACGAUGAGUGCUAGGUGUCGGGAGUUAAACUUUCGGUGCCGCAGUUAACACAUUAAGCACUCCGCCUGGGGAGUACGUGCGCAAGCAUGAAACUCAAAGGAAUUGACGGGGACCCGCACAAGCAGCGGAGCAUGUGGUUUAAUUCGAUGCAACGCGAAGAACCUUACCAGGGCUUGACAUCCCUCUGCCCGCUCUAGAGAUAGAGCCUUCCCUUCGGGGACAGAGGUGACAGGUGG
Molecule: ribosomal RNA, 246 nt
Filed under: uncultured Tepidimicrobium sp.
Lineage: Bacteria; Bacillati; Bacillota; Tissierellia; Tissierellales; Tepidimicrobiaceae
Description: partial 16S ribosomal RNA
Rfam family: Bacterial small subunit ribosomal RNA
Source: RNAcentral